Salvelinus sp. IW2-2015 is the source of this 149-nucleotide non-coding RNA. Lineage: Eukaryota; Metazoa; Chordata; Actinopteri; Salmoniformes; Salmonidae. The record is from RefSeq and is a predicted model, not a curated record.
ACGUCAUCAAGUUAUCCCACCAAAGUAAAAUUAACACAGUAGAAAUCUUUUCAGAGUAGAAGAGUGGUUCUAGCAGCAGACAGGGUUGUUAAGGUAAACGUAGAGUAUGGGCCUAUUCAUAGGUUGUGGAAUGCUCACAAAGUUGAAGA